GAACCAAUAGUCUUUGCUGAUCCGCUGUUUUCUCUAGCUCCCACGAGUCUUUAGCUGCACCGACCGAUCUCGAUCAUGGAGGAUGAGAGGAGCACCCAGUCAUACCAGGGAGCUGAGGCCGAUCAGGUGGAGGUGACGGACAGGGGCCUACUCGGCAACCUCCUCGGCAAGAAGAAGGAGGAGGAGGACAAGAAGGAGGAAGAGCUGGUCACCGGCAUGGAGAAGGUCUCCGUGGAAGAGCCCGAGGUUAAGGAGGAUGGCGAGAAGAAGGAGACUCUCUUCUCCAAGCUGCACCGAUCCAGCUCCAGCUCCAGCUCGGUGAGUGUAAACAUGAUUUACUAGCGCUUUGCUGUAUUAAGAUUAAGAUAUCACAUGGUUGUUGCGGUUAAUUACUGACCUCGUGUGUGAUCGUCUGUACAGUCUAGUGACGAGGAGGAGGAGGAGGAGGUCAUCGAUGAGAACGGUGAGGUGAUCAAGAGGAAGAAGAAGAAGGGUCUCAAGGAGAAGCUCAAGGAGAAGCUGCCCGGCCACAAGGACAACGAGGCUGAGCACGUGACGGGCCUACCCGCACCGAUGGCCCCCGCGUCUGUUCAGACUCACCAUGACACCGACGUCGUCGUCGAGAAGAUCGACGGCGACGCGAAGACAGAGGCCACACCGGCAGUGCCCGAGGAGGAGAAGAAAGGCUUCUUGGAAAAGAUCAAGGAGAAGCUGCCCGGCGGCCACAAGAAGCCGGAGGACGCUGCCGCGGUGCCCGUCACGCACGCUGCUCCAGCGCCAGUGCACGCGCCUGCG
RNAcentral lists this long non-coding RNA (795 nucleotides) under Hordeum vulgare. Its description in RNAcentral is "long non-coding RNA (HVUL_LNC016419)". The record is from RNAcentral. Lineage: Eukaryota; Viridiplantae; Streptophyta; Magnoliopsida; Poales; Poaceae.